ACGCUAAACUACCCAAACCUUUUCCCUCCGCCGCCCGCCCCAACACGGCGGCGGCAGAGGGGAAAUCACCGAGCGAACCGUUGAAGUCUCCGACAGUGCCCUGCACUGGCGGAACCAUUUAUUAAAAACAACAAAAACAACAAACCCAUUCGUCUGAAACGAGUUUUGCGCUCCGCAAGGAGGCGGCAAAAUGGAAAUUACAAAGAACCAAUGA
This 214-nucleotide unclassified non-coding RNA is filed under the name uncultured fungus. RNAcentral describes it as "sequence contains ITS1, 5.8S rRNA gene". The record is from RNAcentral. Lineage: Eukaryota; Fungi.